Molecule: long non-coding RNA, 2432 nt
Organism: Bombus impatiens (common eastern bumble bee)
Lineage: Eukaryota; Metazoa; Arthropoda; Insecta; Hymenoptera; Apidae
Exons: 3
Source: RefSeq, a predicted model, not a curated record
CUAGACCUAAAUAAACAUAAUCAACGUUAUUCCAUUCUCCUCGUUUUCUAAGAUCAUUGUGAGAGGAAAAGGAUUAGCUUACCACCGAUUAUAGACACAUGAUCCUUGCCGCGCGACGAUCUAUCGAAACCGAUUUUUAUUUCUAAAAACAGAUGAUAUAUAUGUGAGUGCACUGCUAUUAUUUCUGCUACAAUUAUUUUAUUACUAUCGAAGUAUAAGAAUAUACGUGUACGAUAUAUGUAUUCUAUGUAUAUAUAUGUAGAUUCAAAGUGACGUGUAUAGGGUAAUUUAAGUAGAGAUGGACUAUCAUGAAAGACGAACUAUGUAUUUUCUAAACAAGCGUGUCGAAUACGUCGAUAUUGUUAUGCUAAUUGCAAUUGAAUGUAUCUGUGAAACGAAGAUUAGAAUUGCUUGGAAAAAUGCCGAAUCCAUUACGAUUGCUAAUACAGCAGCGAUUAUUUACAUUUCUUCAGUUUAUCGCGUUAUUCUAUUUCAUUUUAGUAAUAUCUCAUUAUUUAUUACUAGGUCAUAAGUUUAGUAGAUUAGUAUUUUCCAGUUCUUAAAAAAGGAGUAUAUUUGUACGUCCAUUCCUACACUCCGACAUCGAAGAAAACGAGUGUACACGUACAACGUUGAUCAAAAUUUCAUGUCGAUCGAUUACUAUUUUAAGAAGAUACACUAUUUUAAGAAAAUUUCGAUGCACUUGGAAAUGUCUAAGAAAGGGAGCGGCUUUGAGGAAGAAAAUGGCAGCGGAAAUGUGUAAGGGAGAAAGCGACUUUGAAGAAGAAAAUGACAGCGGAAAUGUUUGCGAAAGAAAAGAAACAUUUUCGAUCAAACCUUCGGUACGAGAAGUCAGAAAUGCCUCUGUUGAUUUCAUUACAAAUAUACGCUAUAUACCUUAUACAUUACAGACACACGUUAAAACUUGCAGUGCAAGUUUUUUUUCAGCAAAAUAAAAUUGAGAUCGUAAAUUGUGUACGUGAGUGUGAAAAAAAAACAUUAGGGAUCCUGAGAUAAUUAUAUUUAUGGUAAUUAUAUUUAGCAUUCUACUCUACUGAUAACGUAUUGCUUUUUCAAAUACUACAUUUGAAUCUAAAGAAACCACAGGCCGGUGUCCCAACUCACUGCAAUUUCACGUUCGAAAUGUUGUAGCGGCUUUUAGAAUGCAGAGAUUUAGAAGAUACUUGUAGAUUUAGAACGCGGAGAUUUGUAAUGGAAAUUUAAAGAGGCCUUUGGCGUUAACGAAAGAGGAAUGGACUACGAUCCCAGAUGCAUACAUAUAGUUCAUGGACUGAACCCAUUAAAUGGAACCACGCUAAACUCACAGAAAAAUCAGUUAUUUUUAGGCGACUUUUAUAAAUAAUGGUUAGCUUUUAAAGCACAUGCUAUGAAAAAGAACUGGAGCUGAGUUUAUAAAAGUUUUAUUAAAUCAACCAAUCUAAAUUUUACUUCCACUCCCUUGAAAAUAAUCCCUUCCUGCAACAAUAUAACGAUUGACUUUACCAUAGCCCCAAUGAUUUCUGAAAGCAAAAUUUAGAUUGGCUCACUUAAUCAAACUUUUAUGAACUCAGUCUGGAUUUUUCUUUUUUUACAACACCUCGUACAAUUCAAAUUGAUAACUUGAGAUACAGCUUCGUUGGUAUUUCAUUAUUUAAACAAUAGAAAAAUAUUUAUAAUACUAAUUAUUAGAUGGCUGGUCUCAGAACAAAAACUAAACGGGAAAAGGCACAUAAAAACAGUCGAUAUAAGAAUUAAUGAGCUAGAAAGUUAAGCCACUUCUACGUUCAGUCGCAACGGAAAAACUGACAAAGUGUCGCGUACAGGUGACAGUUCUUCCUUUUUAUCGCAUGAGUCUGUAAGAGAGAUGGAAGCGAACUCGUCUUCCGACGAGGAGUCGCAAGAUUUCAGCUCUGAAACGCUUGGUAAGGUGUAUAAGAAAAUCGAAAAUGAGAAAGAAAGGCGUAUGAACAUUGAUAUAGAGACAAUGACGAAAUACAAGAAACAUGUCAUUUCAUAUCUAGCAAAAUUAGCUUCCAUGUUACAGUUACGCUCUUCCUGCGACGCAAGUUAAACGAGCUUUUUCAACUCCGAAUCUAAGUGAACGUCUCGAGAGGAGACUUUAGAAGAAUGUUUGAGAUUAAUAUACUUGUAAUUUUUAUAAAUAAACUUAAAUGAAGAGAUUCUUUCGUUUAAUUAAUUGUAACACGCAAAGGCUAUUCCUCGCUACAGACUCAACGUAUCGAAAUUUAUUCCUGUUAAUUAUAUUUAUAUUGUAAAACAUACAUAUGUUAAAAUAAGUCUUCUAUUACAUACCUGAAGUUUAUCUUAAUGUACACGAAGCUUAUUUUAAUAUUUCUAAAUAAUCAUCUAUGUUGCAUAACCUUAACUUGCAAUAAAAAAGUUCAAAUGUUCUAACCCAUAGCAUUUUUAUA